UACGUAGGUCCCGAGCGUUGUCCGGAUUUAUUGGGUUUAAAGGGUGCGUAGGCGGGCUUUUAAGUCAGCGGUAAAAAUUCGGGGCUCAACCCCGUCCGGCCGUUGAAACUGGGGGUCUUGAGUGGGCGAGAAGAAGGCGGAAUGCGUGGUGUAGCGGUGAAAUGCAUAGAUAUCACGCAGAACCCCGAUUGCGAAGGCAGCCUUCCGGCGCCCUACUGACGCUGAGGCACGAAAGUGCGGGGAUCGAACAGG
This 252-nucleotide ribosomal RNA is filed under the name uncultured bacterium. RNAcentral's name for it is "partial 16S ribosomal RNA". It matches the Rfam family "Bacterial small subunit ribosomal RNA", at positions 524 to 776 of the family's 1533-position model. The record is from RNAcentral.